Molecule: long non-coding RNA, 2190 nt
Filed under: Podarcis lilfordi (Lilford's wall lizard)
Lineage: Eukaryota; Metazoa; Chordata; Lepidosauria; Squamata; Lacertidae
Source: RNAcentral
CGGCGUUUGUCCACAGACAGCUUUCCAGGUCAUGUGGCCAGCAUGACUAAACCGCUUCUGCCGCAACAGAACAUUGUGACAGAAACCAGCAUUCCUUACGAUAGGUUCAGGAUACAGCAGGCACUAGGACACACACACACACACACACCCGAAAGUAGCUAGUGGUCACCACGGAACCUCAUUUUAUCACCUGCCUAUUCUGAGGUAGAUUGGGCUCUCAGUCCCAUAAACUCCUUAACUGAAGAGGGGUUUGAUCUUGGAUCUCCCUUCUGAAACCUCAGGCCUGACUGCUGAACCCAUGAUUUGUUUUGUUGUGGGUUAGCAUGACUGGCUGAUUAUAAAGGUUUUAACAUCCAGCUGGAUUUGGCUUAUCGCCAAAUACUGGGAUUGGUGCUUUUGAGGGCAAAACAGAGCAAUGAUAAUAAAUGGCUCACCGUUUAUUUUUUUAUGAGAUAUGGGCUGUACCCUUUAAUAGCAGCUAAGCAAGGCUUUCCUGUCUGCCUCGACAGUGGGAUCAGUCAAAGCCAUGUCUAGCAGUCAGGAAGAAACCACUCCUGUGAUGGACAGGCUACAGACACACGGAAACUGUUGCCCGAGGGUUGACAGACUUGCGUCCCCAACAACACACCAUAUAAAACAGAGAUGGCACUUCCUUCUGUUGUACCUCAGGCAGAAACAAGGAAAGGGGGAAAGAACAAUGUGGGUGACAUUCACUGAAUAUUGCAAUACUACCUGAGGUUAAAAAGAUGAGAGUUAAAGGCAUUCAUGCUACUGUGGAGGCCUGCAAUGUGCUAUUGGAGGUGGUAAUCCUAUACGUACGUACCUGGGAUUAAGUUGCAUUGAACUCAGUGGGACUCACUUCUUAAUAAACAUGCAUUGGGUGUGAUCAGAGUUGUAGCUCAACAACAUGGCGGUGGGAGACCAUAGAGUUGGUUACCUCUUCUUAAAGUCUUGUUCUCAUUUUGAUGUUGUUUCCAUUAUUAUGAAUCAGCCUCUGAAUCCAAACCCAGUAUUGGCCGUUCUAUCACUAGACAGUGCUCUAGACCAUGGGUCGGCAAACUAAGGCCCGUGGGCCAGAUCAGGCCCAAUUGCCUUCUGGAUCCGGCCCGCGGAUGGUCCGGGAAUCGCCAUGUGGAUCGCCAGUUUGUGCGUUCUUUCCCUCUCCCUCCCUCUCCCUCACGCGGCACCUCCUCCCUCCCUCCUCCUGGCUUCUCCCUGCCCUGCCUAGAGGAGGAAGGGGGCUGGGCUUUGUUGGUGCCAGCAGCAGCAGCGCUUGAGCGGUCGCCAUUUUAAGCAGCCCCUCUCCAGAGCCCUUUCGGCACGACUCAUCGUCCCCCCACCGCUGCCAGCUCCUGCCGCUCACAAGACACAGGUAAGCAGCCACUGGGGCUCGUGGUGAUCUUGCCUCAUUUUCCCCCAAAAAAUAUAGUCCGGCCCCCCACAAGGUCUGAGAGACAGUGGACCGGCCCCCUGCUGAAAAAAAUUGCUGACUCCUGCUCUAGACCCUCCCCUUAUAAAGAUCAUGUUGGAAUUUUGGAAGCCAAGAUUGAAGUUUCAGGCAAGCUUUCUUUGGUGAGAGAACCCUAGUGUCAUAGUCCUGUGCUGCCAGCCAUGGCAGAGCUCAGUGGAGGGAGAAGCCAGCUGAAGCUCAGGGGGUACUUGCCUGGAGGCAGAGUUGGUAUACAAGGUCCAGUCCAGUCCAGUCCUAAGAUUAGGCGUAUCUCAGUUCACGUAGUCAGACAAUCCAGGGGUCAAGAAAGACAAGAGUCCAAGGUCACAAGAAGCAUGAAGCAGCAAGGUCUGGCCAGGAAUGACAGGUGUUGUUUCCAACAACUGACUGAGGUUGAAAACCCAGCUUAAGAUAGUUGGUUCUCCUCAGGAGCAAGAAGGCUGAUCAGCAGCAGGUGGAGUCAUUCUGCCUUCUGCUUCUUCGACUUCUGGCCCAUGACACCCAGCGAAGAUUUACCAUCACAAAACAUGCAGGAAAGUAAAGGGUGGAAAUAUAGUCUGUAAAACCUUUAAAAUGUGCCCUUCCAGUGAGCCCCCCAAUAUCCCCCUUUAAAAGCUAUUUCCAAGCUAUCCCACUUCACUAGCAUACAGUAGAGCUAGAUCACAUGUUUGGUAAGUCAUAAAACACUUUACUUACAAAACUCUUCAAAGUUAGUUUCAUGUGCUUUUCCAUGCAGCAGU